AAUAUUGCACAAUGGGCGAAAGCCUGAUGCAGCAACGCCGCGUGAGUGAUGAAGGCCAUCGGGUCGUAAAGCUCUUUGAUCAGGGAUGAUAAUGACAGUACCUGAAAAACAAGCCCCGGCUAACCAAGUGCCAGCAGCCGCGGUAAUAAGUAGGUGGCGAGCGGUGUACGGAAUUACCGGGCGUAAAGGAUGCGUAGCUGGAUAUUUAAGUGGGAUGUGAAAUCACCGGGCUCAACCCGGGAACUGCAUUCCAAACUGGGUAUCUAGAGUGCAGGAGAGGAAAGCGGAAUUCCUAGUGCAGCGGUGAAAUGCGUAGAUAUUAGGAGGAACACCAGUGGCGAAGGCGGCUUUCUGGACUGUAACUGACACUGAGGCAUGAAAGCAUGGGUAGCAAACAGG
Molecule: ribosomal RNA, 399 nt
Filed under: uncultured bacterium
Lineage: Bacteria
Description: partial 16S ribosomal RNA
Rfam family: Bacterial small subunit ribosomal RNA
Source: RNAcentral